AAGAAUUUAGUUUAAGUUUUAGAAUUUGUGAUUGUAAAUUAUAGGGUUUUUGUUCUUG
This 58-nucleotide transfer RNA is filed under the name Aspiculuris tetraptera. RNAcentral's name for it is "tRNA-Tyr". Lineage: Eukaryota; Metazoa; Nematoda; Chromadorea; Rhabditida; Heteroxynematidae. The record is from RNAcentral.